AAGUCGUAACAAGGUUUCCGUAGGUGAACCUGCGGAAGGAUCAAUGCGAAAGAGGGGAGGAGGAAAAGUGUUGGAAUGUGUGGUUGACCAGGACUAUUUAUUUUUUUUUACUUGUUUAUGACUUGCCACCCGGGAUCUCUGGGCUCUU
This 148-nucleotide unclassified non-coding RNA is filed under the name fungal sp. RNAcentral's name for it is "partial internal transcribed spacer region". The stretch from base 1 to 46 matches the Rfam family "Eukaryotic small subunit ribosomal RNA", at positions 1786 to 1831 of the family's 1831-position model. The record is from RNAcentral. Lineage: Eukaryota; Fungi.